Ictalurus punctatus (channel catfish) is the source of this 1258-nucleotide long non-coding RNA. The record is from Ensembl. Lineage: Eukaryota; Metazoa; Chordata; Actinopteri; Siluriformes; Ictaluridae.
AGCAGACUGACCUUCAGUAAAUAAAUCAGUCUUCUUCUUUGCCCAAUCGAACACAGCGCUGGGAAAAGAAACAAGGGAACUGUGCCAGAACAGGCGGAAUAUGCUGAGGGGAUUUCGUGACAAGAAAGAAAUUAGAAAUGAGCUAUGUGUGGACGUAUGGAUAGUGUGUACACAUGGUGACACAGACGAGGGGUAAACAAAUGUUUUACAGCUGGGAAUCUCGUAGUGUUUAAGCGCACACUCUUCCUUAUGAUUGCAGCAGACUUAUGUUUAAAGAAAGAAAUGCAAAAUUAGAUGAAGAAAAAAAUCCAGACUGGAAUGUAAUUGACGUGGCCAUGGAUUCAACUUGCUCUGCAAGAGGAAAAGAAAUUGUAGAUGAGCCCCCUGUCUCGGAAAUAAGAAACAGAUGUCCUGCUUUUUUCACUUAUAGACAAUUUGUUUUUGAGUUCCACAGCCUUGUAUAAAUUGACUUAAAGAAGACAUUUUUUGAAGGGCUUGAUCAGCACCUCCCAUGACUCCUGCAGUUCUACAACACCAAGAGAGUCAGUGAAAUACCAGAAAUCCAAAAUAUGAUGUGCCUUGAUAAAAAGAUGACACCACUGAUAUAAAGAAUCUUCAACAACCAAGUUCUGCAGAAAGAUCUGCAAAUUUUGAAACCCUGUCAUUUGCCAAAGUUCUACAACAGCCAACUGAUGAUGUGGAAUUCACAAUUACUGGAGUUAAGGUGGGCAUCCUGACUGUGAGUGAGGAUACCAGACAGAUACCAGAUGGUUUCUUCCCAGCGGAUGUCCUGAAUUUUGCUGUGAUACUGGAGGAGAUUGUUGUUUCAGAACUAAUAGAUGUUCCUAUUGCUUUUGCUAUACUGUUUGGACUACUUUAUGUUCUGAACAUUGAUUAUCCCAAAGAACUACAAUAUACCUUUGAGGUACUUCAGAGAAUUUUCAUGAAACUUGGUGGAGAGAGCUGCACAGCAAGAGUUCACAGUCUAAAAAAUAAUUUAAUGCAGUGAAGGAAAAAUGGUGCAAUGCAGCCGUACUGUUCAAAAUAUUAUUUUUUCCCCCACAUAGAGCUUGGGGGUUAGAGCUUGAGCACCUACAAUAGGAACUUUUUUCACAUUGACAAAAAGGUUAAAUGGAUAGUUCACCCAAAAAUGAAAACUUGCUUAUAAUUUAACCUUCAGGUCAUCCAAGAUGAGUAUGCCUUUCUGUCUUCAUUGGAACACAAAUGUAGAACCAAAAAAUGCAAAUGAAUGGGUGGC